This 696-nucleotide ribosomal RNA is filed under the name uncultured bacterium. RNAcentral's name for it is "bacterial SSU rRNA". It matches the Rfam family "Bacterial small subunit ribosomal RNA", at positions 8 to 749 of the family's 1533-position model. The record is from RNAcentral.
AGGGUUUGAUCCUGGCUCAGAACGUACGCUGGCGGCACGCCUAAUACAUGCAAGUCGAACGAAGUAGCAAUACUUAGUGGCAGACGGGUGAGUAACAUGUAGGUAUCUUCCCUUUGGUGAGGAAUAACACGAGGAAACUUGUGCUAAUACCUCAUAAGUCUUUACGGAGAAAGCUUUAUGCGCCAUUGGAUGAGCCUGCACUUGAUUAGUUUGUUGGUGGGGUAAUGGCUUACCAAGACAAUGAUCAAUAGCUGAUUUGAGAGGAUGAUCAGCCACAUUGGGACUGAGACACGGCCCAAACCCCUACGGGAGGCAGCAGUAGGGAAUCUUGCACAAUGGGGGCAACCCUGAUGCAGCGAUGCCGCGUGAGUGAAGAAGGCCUUUGGGUUGUAAAGCUCUUUCGUCGGGGAAGAAAAUGACUGUACCCGAAUAAGAAGGUCCGGCUAACUUCGUGCCAGCAGCCGCGGUAAUACGAAGGGACCUAGCGUAGUUCGGAAUUACUGGGCUUAAAGAGUUCGUAGGUGGUUAAAAAAGUUGGUGGUGAAAUCCCAGAGCUUAACUCUGGAACUGCCAUCAAAACUUUUUAGCUAGAGUAUGAUAGAGGAAAGCAGAAUUUCUAGUGUAGAGGUGAAAUUCGUAGAUAUUAGAAAGAAUACCGAUUGCGAAGGCAGCUUUCUGGAUCAUUACUGACACUGA